Molecule: long non-coding RNA, 4079 nt
Filed under: Marmota monax (woodchuck)
Lineage: Eukaryota; Metazoa; Chordata; Mammalia; Rodentia; Sciuridae
Source: RNAcentral
CCAUGCCUCUAGUUCCAUCUACUGGAGAGGCUGAGACAGGAAGAUUGCUUUGAGUCCAGGAGUUCACAACCAGCCUGGACAACACAGUGAGACCCUAUCUCAAACAUACAUAUAAAAUACAGAAAUGUACAUUAUUAGCCAGCAUACAUAGAUAAUCCAUAUAUUUUUAAUAUUUGUGUAAGAAAAAAUAGCUCAAUUUUCAUGUGAUAUGACCUUCCCCUUCUAUUUAAACCCAGGUUUAAAAGCAUAGUUGGAGAAACUGUAGCCACCUCUCCCCAGUACUUGAAAGGUAGCCAUCUUCACUGGACAUGGUAAAACCCCAUCUUGUCCACUGCUUACUCCUCCACAAGACCAAAGUCCAGGCUUGUCUUUCUUUCAGAUGGAGACUUUGACAUGGUAAAACUAAUCAAAAAACAUUUUAUGUAGUUGACCAUAUGUCCCCCAAAAAAGGGAAGGACUUACCCAGGUUCUGUUUAUGCCUGAGUGUUCAGAAUGAAGAGAAUGUUUUGCUUUAGAGACCUUACUAAUUUUUCCCAUUUCUAGGUUCCAAAUGAUUUUCAAAAACCUGCAUGUUUUUUUCUAUUAGUACCCUUCCCCCACCCAGUCAAGUGCAUAUUCACUCAUUUUUUUUUUUUAAACGCAGGACCAUCUUUAAUCUGUGAAGUUGAAUUUCCAUCAGAGGCGCUUGUGUGGCGUUGCUCAGAAGCUGACCAUAAUUUCCCCUUGCACUCCAGCUUGGUGCCACUCCUGAGCACAGUGAUGAGGUUUUGUUGGUGGUUUUCUGUGUUCAUUUGUUUCUAGCACUGCACUCAGUGCUCUACUUAAAUGAAGCAUUAGGUCUGCUGCUAAGGAGCUGAGAAUGAAAAAGAACACAAUAGGUAGGACUAAGAUGCCUCGGGGAACACGGAGAAGAAAGGACUGAGACUGGGAGCCUGCAGUGAUCUCCCUGCUUCCUCAGUUUCCUACAUGUAGGGACCCCUCCUCUCCCACACACCAUCUCCUGUCAGCCUCCUGCAGCCUACUUCAUGCAGUGCCAUACUCUCACUAAAGCCAUCCAAAUGUACACAGGCAAGAGCCUCAGUAGAGGCUCCUUUUUGUUCCACUUUGCAUUGUUUAAUUAUCUUUUUGAAUUUUCUUCCUUGACAUAUGUAACAGUGCCUGAGUUUUUUCACUUCUCCAUAUUUGUUCAGUAACUUCUUUAGGUCAGACCUAAAGAAGCGAAGCUUCUUCCCAGGAACCCUAUUCAUCACUUACCUGUUCUUUGUUCAGUUGGAGCAGGACUUUCUGCUGGCUGACUAUUGUCCGUGGGCCUGAGGGAGCACAAUAGAGUCCAGAAAUAGACCCACGUGCAUAGUGACUGCAGUAGAGUUCUGUCAAAAAUGCAACAGUCUUGAAAAAUGAUGGAAUAAUUGGACAUAAGAUGCAAAAUUAAAAACAAUCCGUACCAUAGUAAGAAUUAAAAUGAGUUAUAAUCCUAAAUAUAAACUAACUUGUAGAAGAAAAUGAAAGAAAAAAAUGUUUAACCUUGUGUUAGGCAUAGUUUUUAGAUACAACAAGUACACUUCAUUUAAGAAAAAGAAUGAUAAAUCAUACUUGAUCAAAUUGAAAACCUCUUAAGAUGCCAAGUGAAUAAAAAGACCAUAGAGUGGCAGGAAAUAUUUGCAUUUCUGAUGAAGUACAUGCAUCUAGAAUACAGCAGUCUCAAAACAAUAGUAAGUAUACCAUUUGGGCAAAUUAUUUAAACAGACACUUCACUAAAGGUUAUAUACUGGGCUGGGGAUGUAGCUCGUUGGUAGAGCACUUAACUAGUUUGCAAUGCCCUGGAUUCAAUUCCCAGGGGCGGGGAGGAUGUGGCAAGCAUAUGAAAUACGCUUGGUUCUUCAAUAAAUAACCAAUGAAAUAUUUAACAUAAUUAGUCUCUAGGAAAAUGCAAAUUAAAACUAAAGUAGGCUGCACCACAUACUAUUAGAAUGCCUAAAAAUAAAAACCUACCACAUAUUGGUGAGGAUGCAGAAGAGCUAGAACUUAUGCUCGGCUGAAGGUAAUGAGAAAUGGCACAGUUACUUUGGAAGACAGUUGUAGGUCAUGUACAUUUAACGUUCCUAAUUAUUUGUCAAAAGAAAAAGUAUAUUUCCCUAUGAAUACUUGUACCUUCAUAGUAACUUUAUAAUAACCCAAAGCUAGAAGCUACCCACAUUUAUCAACAAGUAAAUACAGAAAUUGUGAUUAUUUACAUAAUGGAAUAGUGCUUAACUUGAAUUCACUGUUGAUACAUGCAACAUGGACACAUCUCAAAAGUACUGUUAUAAAAUGUAUACACUAGAAAAUGUGGAGUCAUCUAAAAAAGUGUAUAGAAAGAGCGGUGGGGUUAGGAGUUGGAGGGAGGACUUGUAGAGAUUUCAAAGGGGCAUGAAGAAAUGGGGGUGAUGGAUGUCUUGUGGUUCUGGUUUAACAUGUAAUACAUAUGUCAAAACUUAACAAAUUGAACUUAUUGUAAGUUAAUGUCUUGAUGCCCUUUCUAAGUAACCAUUUGAGUCCUCCUCUGUCCUCAAAGCACCACAUCCUCCUUUCUCCUCACUUUGAUGACAGUCCUGUGUCACCGAGAAGGAGGAAGCAGUCCAAAGAGAACGUUCACAAGGUCACACAAUCACAUCUACACCUGAUCUGCCCCUUUGUCCAUGUGCUCACCAGUUAAUUGAGCUCCCAGAGUGACACUGCUUUGCCUGCCGUUUAAUGCAGACUGCAGUGAGAGAGGUGCCUCAGGCCAGAUGGGCUCCACUGAAGAGCCCCAUUCACCUUCCACUGCUUUGAGGGAUAAGUGUGCCCUGCCUACUGGAGGGCUCUGGGCUGCAAUCCUGCCCUCCCAUGCGUCUUCUCUUCUGUUGGGCUAUUCCCAUCAUUACUUCCCACUGCUGCUGUGAUUCUUCCACUAAAAAUACCUUGACCCCGCCACUCUGUUUCCUUCUCAGCAAAUGCCUUCAAAGAGUUAUCCAUACUCAUGUUAACUUCCAACUCCAUUCCCAUUGGAUAUUCAUUCCCAUUUUUUCCCUGGAAUUGCUCUUGUAAUUGCUGCUAAAUUUUAUGAUUAAUUCUCAGGUCUUAUGUUUCUUGUCUCAUCCAGUACUGUUGAUUUCCUCUCUUCUGUUGAAACCACUUUAUUAGUUUGUCCAAACACUGCAGUCUUCUAAUUUUCUUCCUGUCCAGACUCUUCUUUUUAAACUUAUUUGCUGGCUCUGUCUUGUCUUCCAGUCGUUACAAGCCCCAGGGCUCAAUCUGGGACUGUGUUCUCCCUUCACUCGGGUUAUGCUAAUUUAGUGAUGUUCCACACCAUUCAGUCCCACAGCUGUAAAGACCAGUAUGCUGAUUACUCUCAGGUAUGUGUGUGUGAGUGCACUCAAGACAUUUUGCCUGCCUUUCCUAAAUGCCAGAAUGUAUGUGCAUCUCAUGCUCCUUUAUCCAGGCUGACAGCAAAUCUUUACCUUCUUAAUAAAUCCAUAAUCUGGCAACACUCUUGCCACCAUGGUGCACAUGACCAUCCUCCUCCUCCUGCCUAUGGUAAUGCUGUUUUCCUGGGCUUUCUGACUCUGUUCUUGCCUUAUUCUUUUUCUCCACUGAAUCUAUACUAUUUCUGUUGAUUGGAGUCAAAUCAGUUUCACGCGAACUGGCAAGUGGAUCACCAUCACAAAAUUGAAGUCCAUGAUGGCCUUCAAUACCAGGCAGCACAUGUUGGAACUCUUUUCCUCCCUCUGAAAUAUCACCCCUGUGCUCACUCUGCCUCAGGGCCUUUUCACUGACUAUUUGCUGUGUCUGAAUGUUUAGGUUCCUCAAUCUCAUUUCUUUACUGAGCUGUGGUUCCCAGUGAGGCUGGUCUCCCUGCUGUAUAUCUCAUACUACUUAGCACACUCUAUAGUUGACUUUUCUUAUGUUUACAUGUUUUCCACUUGAAUGUAAGCUCCAGAGAUUAUAUUUUUUAAUCUGAAUUACUGCUGUAUUAUUAAUCUCAGUUUGUGGCACAAACCAGGUACUUGUAAGCAUUUCUGAGUGAGCAAAUAAACGAUGAAUUUGGAAUCAAAAUAAUU